Molecule: ribosomal RNA, 209 nt
Filed under: uncultured fungus
Lineage: Eukaryota; Fungi
Description: partial small subunit ribosomal RNA
Rfam family: Eukaryotic small subunit ribosomal RNA (bases 42-209)
Source: RNAcentral
GAUCGGUUUGACGGUCUACGCAAGUAGCACUGUCGGGCUGGUCUUUCCUUCUGGGGAACUUGUAUGACCUUAACGGGUUGUACCUGGGAUCCAGGACUUUUACUUUGAAAAAAUUAGAGUGUUUAAAGCAGGCUUUUGCUUGAAUACAUUAGCAUGGAAUAAUAGAAUAGGACUUUGGUUCUAUUUUGUUGGUUUCUAGGACCGAAGUA